RNAcentral lists this ribosomal RNA (303 nucleotides) under uncultured bacterium. RNAcentral describes it as "partial 16S ribosomal RNA". It matches the Rfam family "Bacterial small subunit ribosomal RNA", at positions 507 to 807 of the family's 1533-position model. The record is from RNAcentral.
AGCAGUAGCCACGGGAAUACGUAGGUGGCAAGCGUUGUCCGGAAUUAUUGGGCGUAAAGGGCUCGCAGGCGGUUUCUUAAGUCUGAUGUGAAAGCCCCCGGCUCAACCGGGGAGGGUCAUUGGAAACUGGGAAACUUGAGUGCAGAAGAGGAGAGUGGAAUUCCACGUGUAGCGGUGAAAUGCGUAGAGGUGUGGAGGAACACCAGUGGCGAAGGCGACUCUCUGGUCUGUAACUGACGCUGAGGAGCGAAAGCGUGGGGAGCGAACAGGAUUAGAUACCCCCGUAGUCCCUGUCUCUUAUAC